UCUGAUUGUGUGCAGCUCCAGAAGAGAGAGAAAUCUCAAUAAACUAUGACUCCCCAGUCCAUUACUCUACACUUCCAGCUGCUUCUAUGUGACUUAGGAAGUGUUCUAACAGAAAUUAUAUUGAAAGGGACAAAGUAGGUCAAUGAUGGCUAACCUCUUGCUUGCGGAUCCUCAAGAAAAUUGUAGUUCAGGAAAAUGGAGCACCAGAGAUUAAACACCAGCAGUCUACAGGCAGCAGUGUGU
This is a non-coding RNA of Pelobates cultripes (western spadefoot toad), 243 nucleotides long. NCBI's taxonomy places the organism in Eukaryota, Metazoa, Chordata, Amphibia, Anura, Pelobatidae. The record is from the annotation of a GenBank genome assembly.